GAUAUUAGAGUACAUAGGGAUUGGAAACGGGCCGUAGCAACAGGAAAAUGCUAGUUGAUAGUACCGUAAAUAAUUUCUCUAAAUACUCGUAUGUAAAAUUAAAAAUGGCUGAAAGUUGAAGCAGUCUUAUUUUGUGCAGGUAACCCUUCAAUAAUGUUUAGAGACAUUCUUCCUGUUUGCCCAAGCUGUCUGCUGUAGCAAUGUAUCUGCUUGCAGUUUAAAUUCAGUGUUUUAUGAAUUAGCAAUCAUUAUUGAUCACAUUUA
Amphimedon queenslandica is the source of this 264-nucleotide long non-coding RNA. RefSeq lists it as uncharacterized. NCBI's taxonomy places the organism in Eukaryota, Metazoa, Porifera, Demospongiae, Haplosclerida, Niphatidae. The transcript has 2 exons. The record is from RefSeq and is a predicted model, not a curated record.